This 253-nucleotide ribosomal RNA is filed under the name uncultured bacterium. RNAcentral's name for it is "partial 16S ribosomal RNA". It matches the Rfam family "Bacterial small subunit ribosomal RNA", at positions 524 to 776 of the family's 1533-position model. The record is from RNAcentral.
UACGAGAGGCCCAAACGUUAUUCGGAAUUACUGGGCUUAAAGAGUUCGUAGGCGGCAUGAAAAGUAGGGUGUGAAAGCCCUCGGCUCAACCGAGGAAUUGCGCUCUGAACUGUCGUGCUUGAGGAACCUAGAGGUGAGCAGAACAGAUGGUGGAGCGGUGAAAUGCGUUGAUAUCAUCUGGAAUACCGGAGGCGAAGGCGGCUCACUGGGGGUUUUCUGACGCUGAGGAACGAAAGCCAGGGUAGCGAACGGG